RNAcentral lists this ribosomal RNA (467 nucleotides) under uncultured bacterium. RNAcentral's name for it is "SSU rRNA". It matches the Rfam family "Bacterial small subunit ribosomal RNA", at positions 26 to 518 of the family's 1533-position model. The record is from RNAcentral.
AGGACUAACGCUGGCGGCGUGCCUAACACAUGCAAGUCGAGCGGGGUAGCGAAUACCCGAGCGGCAGACGGGUGAGUAACGCGUGGUCAACCUUCCGUUGAAUGGGGGAUAACUAGCCGAAAGGUUAGCUAAUACCGCAUACGAUCUUUUGAAGGCAUCUUUAAAAGAUGAAAGGAGCAAUUCGUUCAACGACGGGACCGCGUCCCAUUAGCUAGAUGGUGGGGUAAUGGCCUACCAUGGCAACGAUGGGUAGCUGGUUUGAGAGAGCGACCAGCCACACUGGGACUGAGAAACGGCCCAGACUCCUACGGGAGGCAGCAGUGAGGAAUUUUCCGCAAUGGGCGAAAGCCUGACGGAGCGACGCCGCGUGUGGGAAGAAGGCCUUCGGGUCGUAAACCACUGUCGAAGGGGACUAUACUGAAGGUACCCUUGGAGGAAGCCCCGGCUAACUACGUGCCAGCAGCCGC